CACAGUAAAAAACUCCCUAAUAUCUAACCUAAGUUUCCCUUCUUUCAGUUUGAAGUCAUUACUCCUUGUCCUGUUACUACAGUUUCUGACAAAAGAGUCCCUCUCUGGCUUCCCUGUAGGCCCCCUCCAGACACUGGAAGGUUGCUAUGAGAUUGCCACACAACCUUCUCCAGGUGAACAGUCCCAACUUUCCCAGUCUGUCUUCACAGGGGAAGUGCUCCACUCCUCAUCAGCUUCAUGGCCUUCUGGACUUGCUCCAACAAUUCCAUGUCCUUCUGUUACAGGCCUCUCUUUUGCCUUGAAAAUCACUGUUGACAAUCAAACCUAAGAAGCAGAAGUCGGUUUUACUCAAGUUUUCAAAAUAUUAUCCUAGGAAUAUUACUGAAUAUGUUGUUCAAGUUGGUAUGAAUAUUGACAAUAUUUGAUUUUAGCUGAAUCCUGCAGAAAGCAUAUGCAUAUACAUAGCCAUUAUAGGCUGCAGUGUGCUACAGUGUGCAAUGUAUGUGCAUAAACCAAGAUCUUCACAAAAUGCCCAAACCAACAGCGCUGUGUAAUGUUCUGUUUUUAGGAAAGAAUAUAUUAGAAAGCAGCUAGUGCCUAAUGGUGUAAUUUUUCUAUCUAAAACGCUAAGAAAGAGGAUUCAAUUUUAAUUCUAAUGACUAAUAUUAUUUUUGUUAUAACAUUUCUUCUACCAUAAGUCUGUAUGCAGUGAACCAUCUCUAUGUGAUUUGAAGAUUUUGAAAUUAGAUGCCUAAUUUAUUUAUAAAAUAUAACAGCAGUUGUUUCCUUUCCCCCUUAUCAAAAUAUUUCACUUCCAUGUUGUUUCUUGUUCAGUUUAUUGUAUUUCUGUGUGCCAAAUGGAAAUGCCAUUGCACUAUUGCUAUUCUAGGCAAUAAAGGCUGAUAGUGUGCUGUAUUUGAUUAAUCUAAUGAUUGUUUUUCCUAUAGAUAGAUUGUUUUCAGAUAGGUAUGAGCAUUAAUUCCUUAUGUGCUGCAUUUGAGUCACCAGUAGUCCAGUUUAAGAUUUAUCUCAAAUAAUUCAUUGUAUUUCUUAGUAGCUACCCAAAAACUUCAUCAGCCUUGCUUAGAUCCUAUAAUGUUUUUUAUGAACUAGGUUUUUUUGUUGUGGUUUUUAGUUUUGUUAGGCUGUGUGGGAUACUAAAUACAAAGAAGAAGAAAAAAAAAAAGCUGGCUCAGUGGAAGUACAUAAGCAGGUGUAAGAUCUUACUGACUGGCACAUCUCUUUCCAUGUCAAGCCUUAAACAAUUAGAACUAAAAUUCUUGACUGCCUUGAGACAUAGUCAGAUACCCAGUUUGAUCUAAGUUAGGAUCAUCAUUCACAUUUCCACUUCUGAUCAAAUCAGAAAUGGUAGAAAAAGAGAGCUUUUAUGAGCUGUUUGGAGCAAACAGAGGUGAACUAACAUGCCAGCUAUGCAAAUAGCUUCUCUUUUCAAGUAAUAAAGCAAAUGUUAAGGAAAUUGACUGUUUCAAAGGACUUUAGAAGAUAGUGAAUUGUUUAUUUUUCUUCAAAUAAAGUUUGCAAUAGCUAUUUUUAAAUGCUAUUGAAGAUGACUUUUAAUAAUAUAUGUCUAAUGUUUGCUUGUUUAACAAUGCAGCUACUUAUAGUAGAUCGCAGUUUCUGUGCACUGCUGACCACUACCCAUCCUGAGCACUUUUUAGAGGUUGGCUCAUCUGUGUUUUAAAACUCAGAAUUUAAUAAUAUUAAUAAAAUUUUACAAAAGUUUUACAGCAGUGGCUUCCCUGGCCAGGCUGUAAACAGUGAAUCUGCAGGUCACUGUUUGGGACUUGUGUGACUAAGGUCACUCAUUUUAAAAGUCUAUUAUUUUGUUCAACAUGGAGUUACUGCAAAGUUCUCUGGUAUCUGUAACCGAUGUAGCAUAAUCAUGUUACGUGAUGAGCUCAGUUCCGGUAGGCCCCUUGUGGUCAUGGAGAAUAUCAGCAACUGUGCUCUUGUGUGAACAGGAGCAAAUCCUUCAGACACAGCUAAUUGCUGAAGUGGAAGUAAAAGAGCACCAAGAAAUUUUUAUGCCAAAAUAUUUUACACAAACGUAAUUGAAUUGAUGUGCAGAACUUUUUUUCAGGUGAUCUGCUAUUUCCACAGCCGUUUUUCAUGGUUUAGAAUUUUGUCUCCAUUACACUGUCUUUUCCUAAUUUUCCUUACAAUUCUCUUGCUGUUCCUCUUGCCUGCCCUUGAAAGAGCUUCCUGGCCCAUUUCAACUCAGAAGUCAGGAUCUGCUCAGCCUCACUUACCUCUUUUGCCCUGUCCCCUCACCAUCUUGCCCGUAAGUUCAGUAGCCAUUUCUGUUCCCACGUCUCACAGAUCUACCGUUUCCUUCAGAGCCUUUAUGGCCUGUAAAGACUAAAAUCUUUGGUCUCAUGGAGAAUUAGCUAUCAACUCAAACUCAGGAUGAAUAAAAACACUUAAGACUUGUCAGCACAGAUUUAUGAAGCUGAAAUAAUCCUUAACCAACCUAAUAGCUUUCUAUGGUAAGAGGAUGGGCUGUGUGGAUGAGGAGGAACAGUGGAUAGACUGUAGGAAGGCUUUCUCUCAUAAUUUUUUUCUGUUUCAAUAUUGAUAAUAGUCCUAAAUAAAGCAAAUUUGGAACAUGAGAUGUUCUGAUGAUGGACCAGUCUCUAGUAAAGUGGUUUUGGAGCAAGCAACUAGGUAAAAUGAAGAGGCUAGCAGAGCUUAAGUGUAAAUACCGGUGCAGACAUACCAUCUCUUCCUACACAUGAAGUGUCAGGCAGAUGCAUGUGUAAGUAGUGCAUAAGUGGUGACUCAUCUUUCUCCUGAGCCUUGGACACCUUUAGAAGAGCCGUGAGCAGAGGAUGUGCCUGGUGGUGGUGCUCACGCUCAGACCGCAGUACCCUGCUCCCUGUGCUGUGGCAGCGCACGCCAGUUUGGCCCUAGCUGGGUGUCCAUGUCUUGAAAUCAGCCACGAUCUUAGGCACGGCUACUUAGGUAAGUGAGGAUUUUAAUACGGCUGAAGCAAAGGAUGAGAAAUCAUAUCCCUAAUAAAGAGGAAUAAAACGACAUAAGAGCAUCUUGAUCUGAUUUUCAACAGCUGCCUACCAGGGAGACUCUGUGGAUUUCCCUGAGGAUUUUUCUGGCUCACACUGAUGGAAAGGGAGGACUGAGCUGAGGGAUAUUUUAGGUAAGGGGAUAGACAUUCUGUUUUAUUUUUUUUUAGACAGGAAUGCUCAUUUAAAAUGCUGGAUCAAGGAGCAGGGAUGGCAAUAUAAACACAUGUGGAAAUAAUACACUAACAAAGCUCUGUGUUUUCAUGCGCAGAAAAUAGAUAGCAGCCAACUCUAGCUCAGUGGGCAGCUAAUUAAGCCAGAGAUCUCUCUGUACUUUGCAUUCUAAGUUCAGUACAAGAGCAUGUAUCAGAGAGGUGCCAUAUGAUUUUUCCCUUAUAGUUCACACUUUGAUUUCAGGCAUGAACUAUGUAUCAUCCCCGUAGUGAUUAUUUAAAGGUGGGGUGGCUGGAUGUUAGAUGGGAGUCAAUAUGAUAAAUGUGUCUUGUUUGUGUGGAUGAUCAUUGUCCUUGAUCAGUUGUUCACAUGCAGCUUAGGUCUUGUUUUUCUGUUCCUGAUUUUAAUAGAAUCUUAGUUAGAAUAAUAAAAACAUGAACACCUUUACUAUUUAACAACAUGAAGUUUUAGUGAGACAGUUGUAAGGAGUGAUUUUCCCAUUGCUACAUACUCUGCUUGCUCCACUUAAGAUUGAAUGCUACAGCUUUCAUGGUUCCUUUCUCAACUCCAUCCACCAUUUUUCCAAUACACCGAGACCAACCACAGUCUGAAAGACUUUUAUUACAGGAUACAGGAGAAGCAAAAAAAAAAAGGUGUGAAUUCUUUGUGAGGAAGCUCAGCGUGUGGUCUCAAAGUGGUACCUCUCACCAAAGGAGUAUGAGACUCCACAUUAUAGGGAAAACAAAGCCUGUUGUGACUGACACAGCUCUGCCUCAGCUGCUUCUCUGGUUUCAUUCUUUUUCCACUCAUUCAUAAUGACUUUAUUCUUCUGCUUUUUCAAGAAGUAGAGCUGGGAUAAUGCUGCACAAGGUAUGCAGGAACACUCUCUAAUGCAAUCCUAAACUCCAAGUCUCUCUAGAUAAAAAGAUUUCACCCAGCAGCCAGUGGGGCACAUCUGGCUUGCAGGAGGUUUGAACAUAGCCAUUUUCCUUGGAGGUGAUUGAAAACAAGUUACGUGAACUGCUAGCAGAACUGGGAAGCAGCAGGCACGAGGUCACAAGGAGAGGGGCAGUGAACGAAGGCAGCUGCCUGGAGCAGGAACUGCCUGGCAGAGAGCACUUGUUUGCACAGUCUCACCCCAACGCCCAGGGGCGAGAGUGGCUGUCUCCCACCUGGGGAAGCAGCCAGCCUCUGUGCCUGGUCUCUGGCCAAAACAUACCUUUGGCAGUGGGAUGUGAGUCUGUCUGAGAGAUACAAGGAAAGAUGACUGUGUGGAAGAAGGAAGGCAAGAGCGGGAGAAGGAGCAAAACUUUAUUGAGAAUAAUGUUGGACUGUUGGUGCUAGAUCAAUGUAUAGAUCAGUAUUCUGUGCUAGGGGCAGCAAAACUGCAGGCUGACAAUACACAUCUUGUUUCACAGGUCACAAAACAUUCCUAUGUGCAUUCAAGUUGCAUUUUAUUGGCCUGAACACAAACCUCUUGCUCCAUGUCCCGUGCAGUGUGGAUGGCUCUGUGAGGGAUGUUCAGGAGCAGAACACGCUGCUGUAAACAACUGCAGAGAGUCAAUGACGACAGGCUGCAGUGCAAAAAGGCAAACAGAGUCUGAUGUAUAAACAAAGAGUACACUUGGGAGACAUAUGAUGCCCUUCAAAGCUACUGGCUGUGCUUUGUUGAAGUCUGUGACAGGAAACCAGUGCUCUGGCUGUGGGGCUUCUGCGUGCAGAGAACAAGAAUUGUCUAGGAAGCUCAGCCACCAUGGGAAGAUUGAAUGAAUUAGGGUUCCGUGAAUCUCGGGGAGGUCGGGGUGUGGAUAAGGUAUUUCUCUCUCAGCUGUGUCUAGCUAUUUUGCAAACCCUUGAAAAUUAAGGAGAAUAAUUAUUUAAUUGUGACCAUAAUAGGUAAGAUUAGAACCAGGUGAUUAAAUUGCAGAAAGAAAGUUUCAGUUCAAACAACAGGGAGAACUUUUCUAAUAGGAGAAACAAACUGUGGGGCAGGCUGCUGUGGGAGACAGCCUGCUUCUUUCUUCAGAAAGAAGAGCAAGUUAGCCAAACACCUUCUAAUAAUGACCCAGGUCUGUGUGAGACUGUCUAGGUGGUGGAGAUGGAAUAAGUAAUCUCUUGAUGUCCUUCCUGGACCUGUUUUCUUAUGAGCUGAUGUCUGCAAGCUCUACUGCUAUCACACAGCACUGGACAGUUUUUACAAGAGACUUACUGAAAUGCACGAGGUGUAACUUUCUGCUGAUGCUAAGGGAAGUGCUAAAAAACUUUGAAUUUACUGGAGUUAUAGAGGAGUUAUGUGGUGAUUAUGAAAAUCUAGGCCAUAAUUCCCUCCAAAAGUAACUGAUUUGAUUUCUGAUUUAUAAUAAGGUUUAUAGUAUGUGCAGAAUGAAAGUAAUUCUUGAAAAGGCUUCAUUAGAAAGUAGAGGAUCAGGUGUCCUGUAAGAAGGGCUGACAGACACAGUGAUCUGAAUUUUUGAGUCUUUUAGGGGUUGUCUAGAAACAAAUAAUUGUGACCAGGUAACCUAAAUAGAGAUUGGAGUUGCAUAAACGUGCUACAGGUGCUGUUCUCCCAGGCUGUUCCUAAGGUCAGUCCAAAUAAUAUCUUAGGUUUGUAGAUUUCAACACCCAGCUCCUCAUCAUUAUAAAGAGAUUUAAAUGUUGUGUUUGUGACUGUGCUGGUUACAGCUGUGAUGUUUGAUUACACCUUGCAGAUUCAAUUUACAGAAAUGCUCAGUGAUGUAUGUCUGAUAUCCUGGCAGUUCAUCUCAGCAUCUCCAAAUAAAUGUUGACAAGAUUUUCUGAAAACAGGUUCCGCUUCAGAUCAACCUUCUGGAAAACCUUUCAGGUGCUAAACUAAUGUGAAACUUCAGGCAUGCGCACAAGAUGUCCAAUUUCGAACAGUGUGGUGGAGAAGCGAUUGUCACUUUAGCAUGCUCAGCUAGGUCAGGACCUGGUGCACAUCCUCUUGCCACUGAUUGCAUUGAGUGCUAGCUGGGACACCUGAGAAUUCCUGCUCAGUGGUCCUGACCCACCUGUGCCAGGUGUCAUUCAAUCAUGGAGAAAACGACUGUCCCUACUCCAGAAAACUCCCUGUCAACACAUGGAACACGGAGGACACAGAAGGAUCUGGACAGAUGAAGGGACAUGAGGAAAUAGUGUGACAACUACAAAGCAGCAGGUAGAUCAAUCUUGAUUCAUAGUAUGUGUCUGGUAGAGCCCUGGUGAAGACAAAAUUCUGAACCAAAUCCUUGCAUCUUGUCUUUGAAUCUCAUUAAAGCUACAAAGCAUCCACAACUAUGAACUGACUUUUACUGUGUAAUUAAUUGGGGCUUUUCCUGCUUUGCACGGCAGGUGCUUUAAAGGCAUGUAAAGACCAUUAGGACUACUUUGAUUAGGACCUGUAGUGGUGUCAUGAUUGAUUUUAAGGUUCAGUGGAAGGACUGUGAUGGGAUUUGAGUUCAGCCAUAAAAUUUUGAAGUAAAUGCAAAUUUGGGGAUGAGAGAUUGCUUCCUUGUAAAUGUUUUAAAAAAGCCUUCCUUUGUUUUUAUUUCUCCCCGAUGUAACUAAAUAGUUAUUCUGGAAAUAUAAUUAAAAUGGAUUUAAAAAGAAAUAUUAUUCAUAAAAGAAGUUUCAUCAUUACAUUCUAUUUUCUCCAUGGAAAAUAGUAGGGUUUUAAUGUAGUUGAAUGUCAAAGCCCUGCGGAUGUAAUUGUUGUGCUUUUGAAAGGAAAACAUUAAUUAAAUGAAUGUGUCACUACCCUGAUUAGCUUUUCUCCCUUUUGGAUAGUUGCUGUUCCAUCUCCUUUGUGCAGAACCUGAGAGUGAAAAAGUCACACAAAAACCCCUGAGAAAUGUAAGAAAUUAAAAGCACCCUAAAAUUUCUGGCUCCAUCUCCUCUUUGACUAAUACUGUCUUCACAAAUAUAAUGGAUUACCACAGUAUUCUGGAACUGCCUUGCCAUGCAGAAGGUGAUUCAGAAACGGAGGAGGUCCAGAAGAAUGAUGGGGGUGGUAAGGAGACAGAAACAAUCCAAAAUUUAAGAACACUGGAAAAUUUGAAUCAAACCUGAACUUCAUUAAAGUCACCAAGCUUCUUUUCUGAAAUUUGGAAAUAUCAGAACAGUGCAAUUUCUUCAGUGGUUUAGUACUUGACUUUUUGCAGCUCGAGAAGGGGUGAUAAAGCAACUCAGUUUGGAGUUAGCUCCAGAGAGCUCCUGCACCUUAGGCAUGUGUGUUGCCAAAUACUGGAAUAAAGCCAACAGUUGGAUGCCUCCAAGAGACUGACCUCAUUGCAAGGCCUUAGGAAGCAAAGUAUUUCAGGACUGGGAAAAUCUUUAUCAGCCAACCAUAGUGGGAAAUGUUUGGGUCUGAGUUAAGAGCUACGUACAAUGGUGUGUUGCUAAAAACGAUAGGUGCUUAUCUGCUGUACUUCAGAAUGCUUUAUGUACCAUUCUGUAUGCGGUCUGUGGUGUGUAUGAACCUUUGGAAUUAGCAGAUAGUAUUUUUGAUAGUUCAUGCUUUGAUAAUUUUGUACUUUUUCACAGCUGGGAGGUCUAUUAAAAAGUGUUGCAAAAGCUGA
Corvus hawaiiensis (hawaiian crow) is the source of this 7789-nucleotide long non-coding RNA. RefSeq lists it as uncharacterized. The record is from RefSeq and is a predicted model, not a curated record. Lineage: Eukaryota; Metazoa; Chordata; Aves; Passeriformes; Corvidae. The transcript has 2 exons.